CGGCUCUCUCCCUUCCCAACUCGGAUCCCCUCCCCUGCACCACCGCCACCACCGUCGCUGCCGCCAGUUUCCCUCCGUCUCCUGGUGCCGAACGUCGACGCCAUCGGAGCUCCGUCUCCUCUCCGCUUCUCCGUCCCCAGAUUGAAGAUCGAAGUUCUACCGGAAAACAACGUCAAUGGGAUCUCUCAUCAUUGAGGUAUAUUGAGGGGUAUUGUUAGAAGGUAAUUCAAGAACCAUAUAAAAUUGAAGUAGAUAAUUCAAGUCCUAUAAAAUUGAAGUAGGUAAUUCUGAAUUGCUAUCAGAGUUGUUCAAACCACAGUUGUGGUCAAAUCUCAAGUCAUGAAGAAACGAAUGAGAGAUUUUGUCAGAGACUCAAUUACUUGGAGCAGAUGGGAGGCAAAUGGAAUCUUACCAGCUCAGCUCAACCUGAUAUGUGAAACUUGGUAUUUGGAUUUGGUAUCCUUUUUGCUAGGAUGAAGAUAAGCUUGCAUCUUGCUUUGGGCAACUACUUCUCCUCGUCUUCUAAGGGUCAUUUCGAGGUCUCAAAUCUGCUCCUUUAUCAAGAUCAUGUUAUCUCUCAAUUUGCCAAGCAAGUCCAACAGCCUGACAGACAUUUCCAACUCCACUUCCACCCAUUUGUUUUGUUGUGGAUUCACAAAGAUCUGGUUGCUGCUAGGCAAGCAAAGAAGCUCUUCAAUGCACCUGUACAGACCUUGGAUCCCUCUCAAUCCCUCGGAUAUCAUAUGGGCCGUUGAAGAGGAUUGAACUACAGAAGACUUGACUUUCUUCAACUCUUCUUCCACUUUGAGCAUGAAGGGAUGGUCUCCAGAAGGCAUGCUGGUGGAUCGGGCAUGGAAAGGCUGGAUUGUUUUCGUAGGAGUGUCAACCAUGUUUACAAUGCAAUCUUGGAAAGCCUUCGGCUUCUGACUGUUGCAAACAGGAUGGGAAGAUGUGACUGACCCUUGAACUCUCCCUACUUAUAGACCCAAUUGCAUAUUGCAGAUGGAGGCAAAUAGAAUCUUACCAGCUCAGCUGAACAUGAUAUGUGAAGCUUGGUAUUUGGAUCCGGUAUCCUCUUGUCCAAACAGGACGAAUAUGAGCUUGCAUCUUGCUGUGGGCAACUGUUUCUCCUUGUCUUCUGAGAGUCGUUUCAAGGUCUCUAAUCUGCUCCUUUAUAGAGUUUGUGCUAUCUCUCAAGGUGCCAAGCAAGUCCAACAGCCUGACAGAUACAUCCAACUCCACUUCCACCCAUUUCCUUUGUUGUGGAUUCGAGAAGAUCUGGUUGCUGCUCGGCAAGCAAAGAAGCUCUUCAAUGCACCUGUACAGACCUUGAAUUCCUCUCAAUCCCUCACAUAUCACAUGGGCAGUUGAAGAGGAUUGAACUACAGAAGACUUGACUUUCUGCAGUUCUUCUGCCACUCUGAGCAUGUAGGGAUGAUCUCUAGAAGGCAUGCUGGUGGAUCGGGCAUGGAAAGGCUGGAUCGGUGUCGCCGGAGAAUCAACCAUCUUUACAAUGUGAUCUUGGAUGGCCUUCAGUAUGUAUUAUCAGCAGAGUCGCACAAACUGGAUGGGAAGAUGUGACUGAUUCUUGAACUCUAUCUACUUAUAGACCCAAUUUCAUACAGCAGAUGGAGGCAAAUAGAAUCUCCCCAGCUCAGGUCAACAUGAUAUGUGAAGCUUGGCAUUUGGAUCUGCUAUCCUCUUGUCCAGACAGGUCUGACAUAUUUCUCUUUUUUUUAACUGUUUCCAGCUCAACAUGCAUGUGUUUGCUUGUGAUAAACUGUGCGUGGUGUUUGAAUCUGUAGCUCAUUCCAAACUACGUUAGUUUUGUAAUGAUAAACUUUGGGUAUUGGACUACCCUGAGAUGCGUGAGUCAUCUGUCUGCUUGUUUGCUUACACCUUGAAGAUAAGGUCAGUACUAAAUCCAUUAUUAAAUAUUCUAUACUGGUCACUUGGCACAUUGACAAAUAAUGCAAUAACCAGCAACCAGACAGGAAAUAUAAAAAAGAGUGGAAAAAACAAUAGAUAGCAGCAAAUACCACAUGUAGUUUGCAAAGUACGUCAUUAGCAAUCUUAUAAUUGUUAGGCUCAAAUAAUUUAGCAAUUUUAUAAUUAUUAUGAGUGUUAUAUGCUGGCCUGUCUCUCCAACAUAGUCAGAUAACACGUACACUGAAGAGUAAUAAUGACGAUAAGAGUCGGCUAAUCAAACCUGUACAUGUGUGUCACUGCUUUUCAUGAUGGAUCUUGUAAUGAUAUAUCUAAGCCAGUCGGUUGCUGCUUUUAUGAAUCAUACAUCUCGGGAUGUCAGACAGGCUUUUGAGUAUGCUUUUAUUUAAAAUGUAUGAAAUGUCGUAAGCCUGCCUGUGAUUUAACAUGAGUUCACCUGAUCAUGCACCCUUUUGUGGGCAAUCUAGAAAAAAAAGGUUUCUGUCAAUUUUUUUCUUCCUGUUUUUGAGUCAUGAACCUUCUCUUGCAUCAGUCUUGAAAAUUGUGUAUUCAUAAUUAUUAUCAGCCGUUGGUUCUGGUCAUUCUCUGCCUUCUUGUCAUAAUGAAUGUAAGCAUGCACCUUCGUGCUUUGAGCAGCUAUUUCACCUCAUCUUCUAAUGGUCAUUUUGGGGUCUCUUAUCUGCUCCUUUAUCAUGCUCUCUGUCAUGGUGCCAAGCAAGUCCAACAGCCUGACAGACAUCCAACUCCACUUCCACUGAUUUCUUUUGUUGUGGCUUCAAGAAGAUCUGAUUGCUGCUAUGCUAGCAAAAGAAGUUCCUUGCUGUACAAUGAGAUCUCCAAAAGGCUUCAGCAAGUACCAUCAGCUGUGGACUAGUAGAGCAAACAGGAUGGCUAUCUUUGAAUGACCCUUGAUUUCUCACUGCUUUUAGACCUUGUAUCCACUUCUCUAAACAGGUCUGACUUAUUUCUCCUUUUUAAAGUUAUUCCAUCUCCACAUGCAUAUGGUGGCUUGUGAUGGAACACCUCAUAAUCUUUAUUAUAUACAUGUUUUUCAUUUGAGUUUUAACACUUUAAACACAUUGGAUUCUUAA
Musa acuminata AAA Group (dessert banana) is the source of this 3038-nucleotide long non-coding RNA. RefSeq lists it as uncharacterized. The transcript is spliced from 5 exons. The record is from RefSeq and is a predicted model, not a curated record. NCBI's taxonomy places the organism in Eukaryota, Viridiplantae, Streptophyta, Magnoliopsida, Zingiberales, Musaceae.